UACGUAGGUGGCAAGCGUUGUCCGGAAUUAUUGGGCGUAAAGCGCGCGCAGGCGGUCCUUUAAGUCUGAUGUGAAAGCCCACGGCUCAACCGUGGAGGGUCAUUGGAAACUGGGGGACUUGAGUACAGAAGAGGAAAGCGGAAUUCCACGUGUAGCGGUGAAAUGCGUAUAGAUGUGGAGGAACACCAGUGGCGAAGGCGGCUUUCUGGUCUGUAACUGACGCUGAGGCGCGAAAGCGUGGGGAGCAAACAGG
This 253-nucleotide ribosomal RNA is filed under the name uncultured bacterium. RNAcentral's name for it is "partial 16S ribosomal RNA". It matches the Rfam family "Bacterial small subunit ribosomal RNA", at positions 524 to 776 of the family's 1533-position model. The record is from RNAcentral.